This 444-nucleotide unclassified non-coding RNA is filed under the name Hevea brasiliensis (rubber tree). The record is from RNAcentral. Lineage: Eukaryota; Viridiplantae; Streptophyta; Magnoliopsida; Malpighiales; Euphorbiaceae.
GAAAUCUUAAGAUUCCUUGCUGAGGGCAACUAUGUGAUUGUAAUUUCUUGUUUAGUCGGCCUUACCCUUUGAAAUUCAGGCCCCAAAUAUCAAGAUAUGAUUUAGAGGAUAGAAGAUUCUAUACUUGGCUUUUAGCAUGGAUCAUGCAGGCUAAAUUAACUUCCUUGUUUUAUUUUUGAAGCUAGCAGAGCAUUCCAAGAUUCCCUUGUAUCUGCCUAUUGUGUGUUACAGUUCUUUGUGUUAUUGCAUAUGCAUUGAUGAUAUGCUUAGGUUAUGUUUGGUAGGAUGUAAUAUAAUGUAGUAUAACUAGAAAGAAAUGGAAUGAGAAUCUAGUGUCAUGGCAAUUCUAAUCCUAUGCUUGGCUGCGAAAAUAAAAGUUAAUGUAAUCAUACUACAAAUUUUUCCCCUAUAUUCAGUAGUUUAUUCGUCGGUGGUGGUGGCAAC